AGGCAACCACCUUUGUGAAUCACUCGGAAGGUAGGUGUUAUUCUGAUCGUAAAUCAAUUUCUUAUGCUCUUCAGAUUUGUUGAGAUUCAAACUCUAUGAAGCUGGUCUAGUAAGCCUAAGUACAUU
Cynara cardunculus var. scolymus (artichoke) is the source of this 126-nucleotide small nucleolar RNA. RefSeq annotates it as small nucleolar RNA snoR77. NCBI's taxonomy places the organism in Eukaryota, Viridiplantae, Streptophyta, Magnoliopsida, Asterales, Asteraceae. The transcript has a single exon. The record is from RefSeq and is a predicted model, not a curated record.